UGGCUGAAGUCUAAAACAGGUGUUUUGC
Molecule: non-coding RNA, 28 nt
Filed under: Mus musculus (house mouse)
Lineage: Eukaryota; Metazoa; Chordata; Mammalia; Rodentia; Muridae
Source: RNAcentral